Molecule: non-coding RNA, 174 nt
Filed under: uncultured Eubacterium sp.
Lineage: Bacteria; Bacillati; Bacillota; Clostridia; Eubacteriales; Eubacteriaceae
Description: Lysine riboswitch
Rfam family: Lysine riboswitch aptamer
About the family: Riboswitches are metabolite binding domains within certain messenger RNAs that serve as precision sensors for their corresponding targets. Allosteric rearrangement of mRNA structure is mediated by ligand binding, and this results in modulation of gene expression.
Source: RNAcentral
AAGUAGAGGCGCGGCAAUCAUGAGUCGCAUCGCCGAGGCACUGACAGCCGGAGAGGGGAUGUAAAAGGGAAAGCCGCCGAAGUGGAUCCGAAGGUCAGAGCGGAUUCGCUGGGCCUGUAGUGAAGAACUGCAGGACUGUCACCGGAGUGGGAUAGAUCCGGUGGAGUGCUACUU